AGCAGCCGCGGUAAUUCCAGCUCCAAUAGCGUAUAUUAAAGUUGUUGCAGUUAAAAAGCUCGUAGUUGAAUUUCGGGAUCAAUAUGUCGGUCGUGCCUUCGGUACGUACCGGUAUCAUUGGUCUCUCCUUUCUGACGAACCAUGAUGUCAUUAAUUUGGUGUUAUGGGGAGUUAGGACUGUUACUUUGAAAAAAUUAGAGUGUUUAAAGCAGGCUUUAGCUUGAAUACAUUAGCAUGGAAUAAUGAAAUAGGACGUUCGAACCUAUUUUGUUGGUUUCUAGGAUCAACGUAAUGAUUAAUAGGGAUAGUUGGGGGCAUUAGUAUUCAAUUGUCAGAGGUGAAAUUCCUGGAUUUAUUGAAGACUAACUACUGCGAAAGCAUUUGCCAAGGAUGUUUUCAUUAAUCAAGAACGAAAGUUAGGGGAUCGAAGACGAUCAGAUACCGUCGUAGUCUUAACCAUAAACUAUGCCGACUAGGGAUCGGAUGAUGUUAAUUUUUUAAUGACUCA
This 508-nucleotide ribosomal RNA is filed under the name uncultured Glomus. RNAcentral's name for it is "SSU rRNA". It matches the Rfam family "Eukaryotic small subunit ribosomal RNA", at positions 569 to 1078 of the family's 1831-position model. The record is from RNAcentral. Lineage: Eukaryota; Fungi; Glomeromycota; Glomeromycetes; Glomerales; Glomeraceae.